This 1310-nucleotide long non-coding RNA is filed under the name Sarcophilus harrisii (Tasmanian devil). RNAcentral describes it as "lncRNA (ENSSHAG00000027087.1)". Lineage: Eukaryota; Metazoa; Chordata; Mammalia; Dasyuromorphia; Dasyuridae. The record is from RNAcentral.
CCCCUCUCCAAAAACAACAAAACAAAAUCAGCCAAUUUAAGCAUUUCCCUAUACAUAUGGGGGCCCCUUUACAGUAGCAAUAACUCAUCAGUGACUGGGAUUUCGGUGAACACAAUCCAGAAGUAAGUGCAUCUGGGCAGGAACUUCCUGUCCAUAAGUAUUUGUUCAAUAUGAUUGCACACGUACGUCAUCUUGAAGCUUAUCCUUAGCCUCCUCCCAAGGAGCUAUUUGGAGUACAUUAUUCUUUUUUUCUCCAAAGAUGGAAACAUGCUACAGCUACAGCAUCCUGCAUCCUGCUGCAGAAUGAAUUCAGAAUCCACAGCCCCUUUCCUUUAUAAUACAACUGGCUGGGUUAAGAAUGGAAGGGAAACAAUUGCAGACCAAAAACGACCUAGAAAAUUUCUCUGCUGUAUUAUCACACUAAUAAAGGCUCAUAAAUUUGGUGUUUUAUGGAGAGUGGGAGGAGAAGAGAGAGGAGGAAGAUGAAAGUUUCCAUUGCUUGAAACAGGAUGAUUGGAUAGGGAUAAGAUAAAAGACCAAAGAGUUGAUUUAUUAUUGUCUUCCUAAACCCCAAAUUCAUCUGUUCCUAUUCCUCAACUCCCCAACCAUUUUAAAAGAGUCACAUGUGUGGACCUGAUAAACGUACAGCAGUCAGCAGCUCCUCCUUCAGCUGGUCAAUUCAAGCUAAGUCUGGGACCUUGUGACCGUUGACUACAAGGCAUUAGCUAACAGUCAUCAUUUUCCAUAUCAUCACAAAGACAAAGCUCCUUGAGGAAAAUUUAUUACACAAACCUGGAAGAUAUAUAUUUUUUCUCUUAAAAUAACUGCUCAGUUGCUACACACACACACACACACACACACACACGCCUUACUACCGGUUAUAAUCACUCCGUGGCUUAAAUAGAAAUUGUCUUCCUAAACCAAAAGGCUCUCAACUUGGGCACAAAUUCAUUACAGUAAGUUUUCUAGCAUUGAUUUUUCAUUCAUUUUCUUUCUUUACCCAAAGCUCACUGAUGCAGUCAUUUAGAGAGGGGGAAGAAAAGACAUGAUGUAUUCCAAUAUAAGGACUUCAAAAACGUUGCCGGGGAGAAGGCAGGCUGAAAUUCAGAGCCCACUUUAACCACGAUGGUGCCAUUCACAUAUCAGGACACCAAUUAGACCAAAUCCAAAAAGUGGAUUUAUUUUAGGCCGCAACAACUAAUCACAAACAUUCAGCUGGCAGUUCAAUUAAUUCAGAAGGCCCAAGUCUUAUGGGCUCAAGUAAUUAGACCAAUGCUGGUAUUGUGACGGCUACAUAAUGUAACAUAAUU